Molecule: RNA transcript, 2341 nt
Organism: Populus trichocarpa (black cottonwood)
Lineage: Eukaryota; Viridiplantae; Streptophyta; Magnoliopsida; Malpighiales; Salicaceae
Exons: 6
Source: RefSeq, a predicted model, not a curated record
CUUUAUUCUCUCUCUUUCACUCAUUUGCUCUUUCCUUCUCUCUCUAAAAAUCUCUAGUGAGAGAAAUUUCAAUUCGCUUACAGUAGUAAUACUUCACAUUUUCUCUGAAACUUUCCCUUUCAUUUUCUCGAGAAAAAACAAAAGAAAAGAAAAUCUCGAGCUUUGUAGAGGAAUGUGUCAGCCUUAUUUACCAUGUGGUGGGGGGGUGACUGAAACGACACAGUUUAAAAACCCACCUUUUCUUAGGAGGUAACAGUAUAUUUCUCUCUCUCUCUCUCUCUCUCUCCAUCUCGUUUUUAACAAUGCAGAAUGGAAUCUUUAUGCUUCGAGGCUCGUUUUGAAUAUACAAUGGAGGGCUUUUUGUAGUUUUUUGGGUUUUUUUAUGUAGUGUAUAAAAAUCCUGUCUUUGGUGAAUAGUUGAAGCUAUUUUUGUGUGUUUUGAAGGUGGUUGUUUUUAAAAGGAAGUUUUUUGGGUUGAUUUGAGGGAAAAAAGUUAAAAGGGUUUUUUUGUGUUUUUAUGUGAGGUUCAGUUGAGUGAACCCUAGUGGUGGUUGAAGUAUAAAUUUGCUAAAAAAAAGUAUGAUCUUUUUGGAAGCUUCAAGUUUUGGUUGGUGAAUGUGGGUACUGGAAGUGGAGAACUGAAGUGGGUUGUGAUAUUUAAGCGUUUUGUGCUGGUUUGAGCUUCAGUUGUUUGGCUGAAUGGGGGACUCGGUCAAUUUUCUUGGUGGGUUCCGGGUGAUUUUGUUUAAUUUAAGGAGGAUUUGAGGGGAGCUUGGUAAAUUUGGAAAUUUGGGUGGCUUUGAGGGAACAAGGUGAAGAUCUCUUGAAAAACUGUGUUAAAUUAAAGGUGUUUGGAACAAUGUCUGGAGCUCCAAGAGUGAGGUCAAUGAACGUGGCUGACUCUGAGGCCAGGUCUGUGUUAGGACCUACUGGAAAUAAUAAGGCAGGACCAUUGAGUGCGCGGAAACCUGUUUCAAAACAAUCGAGGAAGGUUGAGAAAUCACCGGAGGAGGUUAAAUUAGGAGAAGAGAAGAAAACCCUUACAGUGCCCGCUGUCGGUACUUUAUCCCCUAAAUCACAUUCUCUCAAUAUUUCUUCAGUGCUUCGCCGCCAUGAGCUGUUAUUGCAUUCCAAUUUGUCACUAAAUGCUUCUUGUUCAUCUGAUGCCUCCACUGAUUCAUUUCAUAGCCGAGCAUCUACUGGGAGGUUGACUCGGUCAAAUAGUGCAGGGACUAGAAGGAAGCAGUACGUUUUAAGGCCAAGAAGUUUUGUUUCUGAAGGGGGUUUAGAAUCUCCACCAUCUCCUGAUGAUUCACAGUCCAAGAAAAGCUGUGCCUGGGUGACACCAAAUACGGAUCCAUGUUACGCCACUUUCCAUGAUGAAGAAUGGGGAGUCCCAAUACAUGAUGACAGGAAGUUGUUUGAGCUUCUUGUCCUUUCAGGUGCUUUGGCUGAACUUACUUGGCCUGCUAUUCUAAGCAAAAGGCACAUUUUUAGGGAAGUUUUUGCAGAUUUUGAUCCAAUUGCUGUCUCAAAAUUUAAUGAGAAGAAGAUUCUUGCACCUGGAAGCACUGCAACCUCCCUAUUAUCAGAACUUAAGCUCCGUGCUAUUGUUGAGAAUGCACGCCAAAUAUCUAAGGUCAUUGAUGAGUUUGGGUCAUUUGACAAGUAUAUUUGGAGCUUUGUGAACUACAAGCCUAUAGUUAGCAGAUUCCGGUAUCCUCGACAGGUUCCCGUGAAAACUCCCAAAGCAGAUGCAAUAAGCAAGGACCUUGUAAGAAGAGGAUUCCGCAGUGUGGGGCCCACAGUCAUCUACUCAUUCAUGCAGGUGGCAGGGAUAACAAAUGAUCAUCUCAUUAGUUGCUUCAGAUUCCAGGAGUGUUUAGACGCUGCAGAAGGGAAGGUAGAAAAUGGCAUCAAGUCUGAAGAUAUAAAAACCAACGACGUCAUGGAAUCGAAAAUAUCCAUAGCUAUUGAUGAAUUGAGUUUCUCCUCAGAAUGACACCGCCGGCACAUGGAGCUCCAGGUUCAGUGACUAGUUUGCCCUAGUGACUGAUUCUCAGCUGCUCGUCAGGGUGGACAGCCUCAGCAGGUGCUCGACAGCUCAAAAACUUUCAGCCAUUCAGUCCAGUUCGACUCGAAAUGGUGGCAUUAAAGGGCACACAAUUUGAUGUCCCCUUAGGACAAGACAUGUUUGUAGGUUACACCUGUUUCAUGUUUAAAGUAAAUUAAGUGAUGACUGAUGGAUACACGGCCUUGGAUAUCUUAGUGUGAUUUAUCUUGUGGUUGUGAUUAAAAAAAAAAAUUGCAUGUAAAAUAAAUAAAAAAUAGAUUUUUAGCU